RNAcentral lists this non-coding RNA (117 nucleotides) under Pan troglodytes (chimpanzee). Lineage: Eukaryota; Metazoa; Chordata; Mammalia; Primates; Hominidae. The record is from Rfam by way of RNAcentral.
GCUGGGUGCGGUGGCUCACGCCUGUAAUCCCAGCACUUUGGGAGGCCGAGGUGGGUGGAUCACCUGAGGUCAGGAGUUCGAGACCAGCCUGACCAACAUGGUGAAACCCCGUCUCUA